UGCUUGCUCUACAGGCUGUAAAGCAAUUGCUAAGGUUGGAUGCUGAAAACCCUGAUUCUCAUCGUUGCCUGAUAAGAUUCUUCUAUAAAGUGGGCUCUAUGGCUGCUCCAGUGACAGAUGCUGAGAAACUCAUUUGGUGUGUCUUGGAAGCAGAGCGACCGUCAAUCAGUGAAUUGCAUGAGAAAUCCCUGAUUGAGGCAAACCAGUUUUUCCUUGAAAAACACAAAGAUUCUUUGAUGCAUAGAGCUGCUGUUGCAGAGAUGAUAUAUGUUUUAGAAUCUAACAAGAAAUCUGAGGCUAUUAAAUUAAUUGAAGAUUCAGCCAACAACCUUUUGCCAGUAAAUGGAGCACUCGGACCGGUCAAGGGAUGGAAGCUCAAAGACUGCAU
Molecule: unclassified non-coding RNA, 388 nt
Filed under: Hevea brasiliensis (rubber tree)
Lineage: Eukaryota; Viridiplantae; Streptophyta; Magnoliopsida; Malpighiales; Euphorbiaceae
Source: RNAcentral